This 809-nucleotide ribosomal RNA is filed under the name uncultured archaeon. Its description in RNAcentral is "bacterial SSU rRNA". It matches the Rfam family "Archaeal small subunit ribosomal RNA", at positions 85 to 879 of the family's 1478-position model. The record is from RNAcentral.
ACGGCUCAGUAACACGUGGCUAAUCUGCCCUUAGGACGAGAACAACCCCGGGAAACUGGGGCUAACUCUCGAUAGGCGAAGAACUCUGGAAUGAGUCUUUACCUAAAUAGUGCAACGUUAUCCUCGUUGCAUCGCCUAAGGAUGAGGCCGCGACCGAUCAGGUUGUUGGCGAGGUAAUGGCUCACCAAGCCUUUUACCGGUGCGGGCCGUGAGAGCGGGAGCCCGGAGAUGGGCACUGAGACAAGGGCCCAGGCCCUACGGGGCGCAGCAGUCGCGAAAACUUUGCAAUAAGCGAAAGCUUGACAGGGCUAUCCCGAGUGCCAUCCGCUGAGGAAGGCUUUUACCCAGUCUAGAACGCUGGGGGAAUAAGGAGAGUGCAAGUCUGGUGUCAGCCGCCGCGGUAAUACCAGCUCUCCGAGUGGUGUGGAUGUUUAUUGGGCCUAAAGCAUCCGUAGCUGGCUAGGUCAGUCCCUUGUUAAAUCCACCGAAUUAAUCGUUGGAUUGCGGGGGAUACUGCUUGGCUAGGGGACGAGAGAGGCAGACGGUAUUUUCGGGGUAGGGGUGAAAUCCUAUAAUCCCGGGAAGACCACCAGUGGCGAAGGCUGUCUGCUAGAACGCGCCCGACGGUGAGGGAUGAAAGCUGGGGGAGCGAACCGGAUUAGAUACCCGGGUAGUCCCAGCUGUAAACGAUGCAGACUCGGUGAUGAAUAGGCUUCGUGCCUAUUCAGUGCCGCAGGGAAGCCGUUAAGUCUGCCGCCUGGGGAGUACGGUCGCAAGACUGAAACUUAAAGGAAUUGGCGGGGGAGCAC